GUGCCUGUAGCUCAGUUGGAUAGAGCAACCGCCUUCUAAGCGGUUGGUCGCACGUUCGAAUCGUGCCAGGCGCGCCA
RNAcentral lists this transfer RNA (77 nucleotides) under Heliobacterium chlorum. Its description in RNAcentral is "tRNA-Arg". It matches the Rfam family "tRNA". Rfam says of the family: Transfer RNA (tRNA) molecules are approximately 80 nucleotides in length. Their secondary structure includes four short double-helical elements and three loops (D, anti-codon, and T loops). The record is from RNAcentral. RNAcentral also lists the same sequence under 1 other name. Lineage: Bacteria; Bacillati; Bacillota; Clostridia; Eubacteriales; Heliobacteriaceae.